Molecule: ribosomal RNA, 26 nt
Filed under: Sindora klaineana
Lineage: Eukaryota; Viridiplantae; Streptophyta; Magnoliopsida; Fabales; Fabaceae
Description: partial 26S ribosomal RNA
Source: RNAcentral
GCGACCCCAGCUCAGGCGGGACCACC